GAAGGUACAGCUCAGUGGUAGAGUGCAUGCCUAGUAUGUUUAAGAUCCUGGGUUAAAUCCUCAGUACCUCCA
Molecule: transfer RNA, 72 nt
Filed under: Camelus bactrianus (Bactrian camel)
Lineage: Eukaryota; Metazoa; Chordata; Mammalia; Artiodactyla; Camelidae
Also listed under: 2 other names
Rfam family: tRNA
About the family: Transfer RNA (tRNA) molecules are approximately 80 nucleotides in length. Their secondary structure includes four short double-helical elements and three loops (D, anti-codon, and T loops). Further hydrogen bonds mediate the characteristic L-shaped molecular structure. tRNAs have two regions of fundamental functional importance: the anti-codon, which is responsible for specific mRNA codon recognition, and the 3' end, to which the tRNAs corresponding amino acid is attached (by aminoacyl-tRNA synthetases). tRNAs cope with the degeneracy of the genetic code in two manners: having more than one tRNA (with a specific anti-codon) for a particular amino acid; and 'wobble' base-pairing, i.e. permitting non-standard base-pairing at the 3rd anti-codon position.
Source: Rfam by way of RNAcentral